UGUCCUGUAGCUCAGUGGUUAGAGCAUUUGCCUGGCAAGCGAGAGGACCCAGGUUCGAUUCCUGGCAGGGUGA
Callorhinchus milii (elephant shark) is the source of this 73-nucleotide non-coding RNA. The record is from the annotation of a RefSeq genome assembly. NCBI's taxonomy places the organism in Eukaryota, Metazoa, Chordata, Chondrichthyes, Chimaeriformes, Callorhinchidae.